AACGCUGGCGGCAGGCUUAACACAUGCAAGUCGAACGCCCCGCAAGGGGAGUGGCAGACGGGUGAGUAACGCGUGGGAACAUACCCUUUGGUGCGGAACAACAACUGGAAACGGUUGCUAAUACCGCAUGAGCCCUACGGGGGAAAGAUUUAUCGCCAAAGGAUUGGCCCGCGUCGGAUUAGCUAGUUGGUGGGGUAAUGGCCUACCAAGGCGACGAUCCGUAGCUGGUCUGAGAGGAUGAUCAGCCACACUGGGACUGAGACACGGCCCAGACUCC
RNAcentral lists this ribosomal RNA (277 nucleotides) under uncultured Alphaproteobacteria bacterium. Its description in RNAcentral is "partial 16S ribosomal RNA". It matches the Rfam family "Bacterial small subunit ribosomal RNA", at positions 32 to 339 of the family's 1533-position model. Lineage: Bacteria; Pseudomonadati; Pseudomonadota; Alphaproteobacteria. The record is from RNAcentral.